This 501-nucleotide ribosomal RNA is filed under the name uncultured bacterium. RNAcentral describes it as "partial 16S ribosomal RNA". It matches the Rfam family "Bacterial small subunit ribosomal RNA", at positions 30 to 523 of the family's 1533-position model. The record is from RNAcentral.
AUUGAACGCUGGCGGCAGGCUUAACACAUGCAAGUCGAGCGGAGCGAGGGUGCUUGCACCUUAGCUUAGCGGCGGACGGGCGAGUAAUGCUUAGGAAUCCGCCUAUUAGUGGGGGACAACAUUCCGAAAGGGAUGCUAAUACCGCAUACGCCCUACGGGGGAAAGCAGGGGAUCUUCGGACCUUGCGCUAAUAGAUGAGCCUAAGUCGGAUUAGCUAGUUGGUGGGGUAAAGGCCUACCAAGGCGACGAUCUGUAGCGGGUCUGAGAGGAUGAUCCGCCACACUGGGACUGGGACACGGCCCAGACUCCUACGGGAGGCAGCAGUGGGGAAUAUUGGACAAUGGGCGGAAGCCUGAUCCAGCCAUGCCGCGUGUGUGAAGAAGGCCUUUUGGUUGUAAAGCACUUUAAGCGAGGAGGAGGCUACUAGUAUUAAUACUACUGGAUAGUGGACGUUACUCGCAGAAUAAGCACCGGCUAACUCUGUGCCAGCCGCCGCAGUAA